AUAUAGUUAAUAUAAAAUAAUUUUAUAAAACUUUUAGGUUUUUUUACUCUGCUCAGAUUGAACGCUGGCGGCAGGCCUAACACAUGCAAGUCGAGCGGCAGCACGGGUACUUGUACCUGGUGGCGAGCGGCGGACGGGUGAGUAAUGCCUAGGAAUCUGCCUGGUAGUGGGGGAUAACGCUCGGAAACGGACGCUAAUACCGCAUACGUCCUACGGGAGAAAGCAGGGGACCUUCGGGCCUUGCGCUAUCAGAUGAGCCUAGGUCGGAUUAGCUAGUUGGUGAGGUAAUGGCUCACCAAGGCGACGAUCCGUAACUGGUCUGAGAGGAUGAUCAGUCACACUGGAACUGAGACACGGUCCAGACUCCUACGGGAGGCAGCAGUGGGGAAUAUUGGACAAUGGGCGAAAGCCUGAUCCAGCCAUGCCGCGUGUGUGAAGAAGGUCUUCGGAUUGUAAAGCACUUUAAGUUGGGAGGAAGGGCAUUAACCUAAUACGUUGGUGUCUUGACGUUACCGACAGAAUAAGCACCGGCUAACUCUGUGCCAGCAGCCGCGGUAAUACAGAGGGUGCAAGCGUUAAUCGGAAUUACUGGGCGUAAAGCGCGCGUAGGUGGUUUGUUAAGUUGGAUGUGAAAUCCCCGGGCUCAACCUGGGAACUGCAUUCAAAACUGACAAGCUAGAGUAUGGUAGAGGGUGGUGGAAUUUCCUGUGUAGCGGUGAAAUGCGUAGAUAUAGGAAGGAACACCAGUGGCGAAGGCGACCACCUGGACUGAUACUGACACUGAGGUGCGAAAGCGUGGGGAGCAAACAGGAUUAGAUACCCUGGUAGUCCACGCCGUAAACGAUGUCAACUAGCCGUUGGGAGCCUUGAGCUCUUAGUGGCGCAGCUAACGCAUUAAGUGACCGUUCUGGGAGACGCCGAACCGG
Molecule: ribosomal RNA, 926 nt
Filed under: Pseudomonas mandelii
Lineage: Bacteria; Pseudomonadati; Pseudomonadota; Gammaproteobacteria; Pseudomonadales; Pseudomonadaceae
Description: bacterial SSU rRNA
Rfam family: Bacterial small subunit ribosomal RNA
Source: RNAcentral